GAAUUCGCCCUUAGAGUUUGAUCCUGGCUCAGGAUAAACGCUGGCGGCGCACAUAAGACAUGCAAGUCGAACGGACUUAACUGAAAUGUUUACAUUUUAGAGCGGUUAGUGGCGGACUGGUGAGUAACACGUAAGCAACCUGCCUAUUAGAGGGGAAUAACAGUGAGAAAUCAUUGCUAAUACCGCAUAUACUAUUUACAUUGCAUGAUGUAAAUAGGAAAGGAGCAAUCCGCUGAUAGAUGGGCUUGCGUCUGAUUAGAUAGUUGGUGGGGUAAUGGCCUACCAAGUCGACGAUCAGUAGCCGGACUGAGAGGUUGAACGGCCACAUUGGGGCUGAGAUACGGCCCAGACUCCUACGGGAGGCAGCAGUCGGGAAUAUUGCACAAUGGAGGAAACUCUGAUGCAGUGACGCCGCGUGCAGGAAGAAGGUUUUCGGAUUGUAAACUGCUUUAGACAGGGAAGAAACAAGACAGUACCUGUAGAAUAAGCUCCGGCUAACUACGUGCCAGCAGCCGCGGUAAUACGUAGGGAGCAAGCGUUAUCCGGAUUUAUUGGGUGCAAAGGGUGCGUAGACGGGCAAACAAGUUAGUUGUGAAAUCCCUCGGCUUAACUGAGGAACUGCAACUAAAACUAUUAGUCUUGAGUGCGGGAGAGGAAAGUGGAAUUCCUAGUGUAGCGGUGAAAUGCGUAGAUAUUAGGAGGAACACCAGUGGCGAAGGCGACUUUCUGGACCGUAACUGACGUUGAGGCACGAAAGUGUGGGGAGCAAACAGGAUUAGAUACCCUGGUAGUCCACACUGUAAACGAUGGAUACUAGGUGUAGGGAAUAUUAAGUUUUCUGUGCCGUCGCAAACGCAGUAAGUAUCCCACCUGGGGAGUACGACCGCAAGGUUGAAACUCAAAGGAAUUGACGGGGGCCCGCACAAGCAGUGGAGUAUGUGGUUUAAUUCGAAGCAACGCGAAGAACCUUACCAGGGCUUGACAUAUGCAGGAAUAUACUAGAGAUAGUAUAGCUCUUCGGAGUCUGCAAACAGGUGGUGCAUGGUUGUCGUCAGCUCGUGUCGUGAGAUGUUGGGUUAAGUCCCGCAACGAGCGCAACCCCUAUUGUUAGUUGCUACGCAAGAGCACUCUAGCGAGACUGCCGUUGACAAAACGGAGGAAGGUGGGGACGACGUCAAAUCAUCAUGCCCCUUAUGUCCUGGGCUACACACGUAAUACAAUGGCGGUCAACAGAGGGAUGCAAAGCCGCGAGGCAGAGCGAACCCCAAAAAGCCGUCCCAGUUCGGAUCGCAGGCUGCAACCCGCCUGCGUGAAGUCGGAAUCGCUAGUAAUCGCGGAUCAGCAUGCCGCGGUGAAUACAAUCCCGGGCCUUGCACACACCGCCCGUCA
This 1389-nucleotide ribosomal RNA is filed under the name uncultured bacterium. RNAcentral's name for it is "bacterial SSU rRNA". It matches the Rfam family "Bacterial small subunit ribosomal RNA". The record is from RNAcentral.